Molecule: long non-coding RNA, 417 nt
Filed under: Pan troglodytes (chimpanzee)
Lineage: Eukaryota; Metazoa; Chordata; Mammalia; Primates; Hominidae
Description: long non-coding RNA NONPTRT003917
Source: RNAcentral
CUAGUUGAACUGUUACCAGCUGUCUGUGUGACGAUGGCCAAUUCUGGCAAUCCCUUAAAACCAUGGCUUGAAAACACUAUAUGAAUAUGAAUAAAGCAAUACAGAAGAACAUCACAGAUUUCUUAUGCUUUGAUUCUACAAUGAUGUGAAUGCUUACACUGUGCCAAAAUUUAGUGAGUGAUUUUUUUAUACAUAAAAAGAAGGGCUCCAGAUGUCCUUUUCUCAGUGAAGUUGUUUGUCUAAUAAUUAUUCAGUUGAUGGGUCCUGCUAUAUAUUAAAAUGUUCCUUCUUAUCCUCAGAGCCAAUUGUGAAAUGUUAAUCGUGGUUAUUUCCAGAAUGUGGAAAUGUAGAUAGUGUCUAUUUUAUUUAAUUUAUAUUUGCCGGCUAGCCUUUAAAAAAUACAGAUUACUUUUAUUA